GUGUCAGCAGCCGCGGUAAUACGAGUGCCCCAAGCGUUAUCCGGAAUCAUUGGGCGUAAAGGGUGUGUAGGCGGCGUUGUUAGUCUUCUGUCAAAAUCUCGGGCUUAACCCGAGACCUGCAGUGGAAACGGCAAUGCUAGAGAGUGCGAGAGGUGAAUGGAACUCAUGGAGUAGGGGUGAAAUCCGUUGAUAUCAUGGGGAACACCAAAAGCGAAGGCAAUUCACUGGCGCAUUUCUGACGCUGAAACACGAAAGCGUGGGUAGCGAACGGGAUUAGAUACCCCGGUAGUCC
RNAcentral lists this ribosomal RNA (292 nucleotides) under uncultured bacterium. RNAcentral describes it as "partial 16S ribosomal RNA". It matches the Rfam family "Bacterial small subunit ribosomal RNA", at positions 505 to 796 of the family's 1533-position model. The record is from RNAcentral.